This 1013-nucleotide long non-coding RNA is filed under the name Oryctolagus cuniculus (rabbit). RNAcentral describes it as "lncRNA (ENSOCUG00000033242.1)". Lineage: Eukaryota; Metazoa; Chordata; Mammalia; Lagomorpha; Leporidae. The record is from RNAcentral.
GGAGUCAGGAAACAGCCUGUCAUUUAUCAUGUGCCGGCGCGCUGGACCCUGGUAAUGCAACACAGCCACACGGCUCCAGAGCGUGAGUCAGCUGCUGGGGGGCCACGCGGGGAAGGGAGGCGCCCCUGUGACCCGCCCUUCUGCCAGGGCUCCAGCUGCCCGCUCGCUGAGGGGUUGGAGUCCGCCCGUUGCCCUCUGGAAGGCACCCAGCCUCCUGCCUUGUGGCCGCUGACCGUUCUGUGGCCUCUCCGGGGAGCUGAAGACUUGUCCCGGUUCCACCCCGCAGCCACCCGCCUCCUCCCCCAGCCUUUCGGCGGCAGAGCCCCAGGCCGCCUCCUCCACAAAGCCUGCCCUGCUUUCUCCUGUUGGAACGGAAUGCUCUCCGCCUGGCAAUAACGUGGCAUUUUGUUGAUGACUUUAUUCCAGCUCAUUUCUCGGCACAGUGGGUCAGGCAGGAACACGAGGGGUCCACAGCAGGAAUCCUGAACCCUAAGAGUGUUGACUCAGAUCCAUGCUCGGCCCCACAACUUGACCUUGACCUUGCACACGUGGUGUGUUCUCUCUGUGACUCAGUUUCUCUCCUUGUAAAAUGGGAGCAACAACCGUGCCUGAUAGAGUUUCAUGAGGAUGAAAAGCAUUAGCACACAAAGCACUUCGAACAGCUCUCUGCUCCGAAUGUUUGCUGCUGCGGCUGUUGAUGGAAGGCCUUCCUUUCUAGCCCACGUGACUUUGUUGGGUGAAGCCUAACAGCCGGGUUUUCUUUUGGCUCCAUAUAUGUGUUUUAAUUUUAUUAAAUGACAAAUGUCUCCUUUUUGCCCUCAGUUAUGAGAUGCAGGUGAAUUAAAUCCAUUUCCGGGAAUCCUUGGUAUCAUAAGUAAUUUCGCUGAUUGCUCUUUUCGGAAUGCAUGAUCUAUAGCCACAGUGCACGCGCUACGUUGAAAUGAACUGAAACGAGCUCCCAUUUACUGACUUGAGUUCAGCUGCAUCCACUGUGAGAGCAGAGAGACGCAAAC